Sinocyclocheilus grahami is the source of this 1373-nucleotide RNA transcript. It is a transcript of the gene named MORN repeat-containing protein 4, with no coding region annotated. NCBI's taxonomy places the organism in Eukaryota, Metazoa, Chordata, Actinopteri, Cypriniformes, Cyprinidae. The transcript has 6 exons. The record is from RefSeq and is a predicted model, not a curated record.
UUCAGCGAGAGCAGAGGAGCCGUAACACCGGCGAGCCAGAACACCCGAUUCUCCCUCUGCGGAUCCGUUGGACAAAGCGAAGGGUUUUCAUGCUCUUGAGACUGCACAGAAACAUCACAGCUUGGUGGAGGUAUGACAUUAACCAGGGGCUCCUUCACUUAUUCCAGAGGAGAAGAAUAUACCGGAGAAUGGAAGGAAGGUCGGAGGCACGGUAAAGGCGAGCUGAAGUUUGCUGAUGGCACCUGUUAUAAAGGUCAUUUUGAGAAUGGCCUGUUCCACGGAUCAGGGGUAUUAGUCUUUCCCGAUGGGUCCAGGUACGAGGGUGAAUUCGCCCAGGGAAAAUUCCAAGGGGUUGGAAUCUUCAGCAGGUUUGACGGGAUGAAAUUUGAAGGAGAAUUCAAAAGUGGCCGUGUAGAAGGAUAUGGGCUGCUGACAUUUCCAGAUGGUUCUCAUGGUGCUCCGCGAAAUGAGGGAGUGUUUGAGAACAACAAGCUUCUGAAACGUGAAAAGUGUCAGGCUGUGGUGCAGAGAGCCAAGAACUCAGCAUCCACUGCCCGCGGCCUCUCUGUAUGACAAACUGACCUCAGUGAGAGCACCCCUAACUGCGGCUUUCAGAUCAGGCAGUGUCACAAGUUAAGAAGUCAAAGCAGACUGUGGAUCUGCAUUCAGGGGUGAUCUCUGCCUUCACCAAACAACGGAGCUCAAAAAUAUGAGAGACCCAUCAGACCCUCAGGGAUGGAUGAAAGUGUUUCCAUUCCACACACCUCUGUUUCUCUCACAUUGUUGCUCUGCCUUGGUUUCCUCUGUGGCUUAAAAACAUCACAAAAUACUGUAUGUUAUGGAGGCAUGGAUAAACUCGAGUCACCAUCGGAGGCAUUGCAGGUACAGAAGCCUGGUCACGUGAAGAUAUUUUUGGGAAACCCUUCAUGACAGCAGGCCAAGAGAUCAGUUUGGGAACUGGAUGAGCCAGGCCAUGGAUUACAUCUUUAAUACAGCAGCAAAACACACACCGAGUAACUACAAAGAGAAGAGCUGGAUUGUUGAUUCAUAAACAACCUUAUAUCGGGGCAAAUGUUUGCUUUCAGGCUGGCGGAUUGUGAUUAUGUAAUAAGCACAGAUGACGUAUGUCUCACACAUGGGCAUAUCAGUGUCCUCCACCCAAAGCCUUGUCAUCUGAUGCAUCAGGAAACUAUGCACAGCAAUGAGCCUGUCCUGGCACAGUAAGCCAUAGACAAAACUAUAGCAUGUUAAAUGUGUUUCAAAUGAAAGAUAUGUUAUGCAGAAGUCAAAUAGACUAAAUGUUGUGCAUGCAUUUCUCAUUUCAGAAAGACAAGCUAGUCAAAAUGCUUUCUGCUGAUUGGUCAGCCGAAGAU